Molecule: non-coding RNA, 395 nt
Organism: Cinara cedri
Lineage: Eukaryota; Metazoa; Arthropoda; Insecta; Hemiptera; Aphididae
Source: the annotation of a GenBank genome assembly
GGACUAACAUAAUUCGAACGGUUAAGUUGAGUUGGGAAGGUAGAGGGAAAAUUUAAUGUACAUCAACGAUUAGCCGUUGUUAACGAAAAUCGAUGAUUCUGAACGGGGUCAGGUGAAUAGUAUUGUUUCGUCGUAUUUCGCAGUGUCCCUUUUUUCAACAUUUAUCGGGAAAACUUCUGGGAAAAUCGAAAAAAAACGACCUCUUUAAAAUACCGCCCCAUUCGGAUUUCAUUUCGGAAUAAAAAACGCCGCAAUCGAAAAUCGGAUCGAAAAUUGCCGGGAGAAAUGUUGUUCACGGAAAGAAAAUAAAAAAAAAAUAAACAGACACCACUGCAGCAUAUUGCCCGCCGAGUUUGAAACACGGAACGAUUUCAAUUGUUAAUAUAAUACAUACA